UAAGUUGCAGGGUAUAGACCCGAAACCCGGUGAUCUAGCCAUGGGCAGGUUGAAGGUUGGGUAACACUAACUGGAGGACCGAACCGACUAAUGUUGAAAAAUUAGCGGAUGACUUGUGGCUGGGGGUGAAAGGCCAAUCAAACCGGGAGAUAGCUGGUUCUCCCCGAAAGCUAUUUAGGUAGCGCCUCGUGAAUUCAUCUCCGGGGGUAGAGCACUGUUUCGGCAAGGGGGUCAUCCCGACUUACCAACCCGAUGCAAACUGCGAAUACCGGAGAAUGUUAUCACGGGAGACACACGGCGGGUGCUAACGUCCGUCGUGAAGAGGGAAACAACCCAGACCGCCAGCUAAGGUCCCAAAGUCAUGGUUAAGUGGGAAACGAUGUGGGAAGGCCCAGACAGCCAGGAUGUUGGCUUAGAAGCAGCCAUCAUUUAAAGAAAGCGUAAUAGCUCACUGGUCGAGUCGGCCUGCGCGGAAGAUGUAACGGGGCUAAACCAUGCACCGAAGCUGCGGCAGCGACACUAUGUGUUGUUGGGUAGGGGAGCGUUCUGUAAGCCUGCGAAGGUGGCCUGUGAGGGUUGCUGGAGGUAUCAGAAGUGCGAAUGCUGACAUAAGUAACGAUAAAGCGGGUGAAAAGCCCGCUCGCCGGAAGACCAAGGGUUCCUGUCCAACGUUAAUCGGGGCAGGGUGAGUCGACCCCUAAGGCGAGGCCGAAAGGCGUAGUCGAUGGGAAACAGGUUAAUAUUCCUGUACUUGGUGUUACUGCGAAGGGGGGACGGAGAAGGCUAUGUUGGCCGGGCGACGGUUGUCCCGGUUUAAGCGUGUAGGCUGGUUUUCCAGGCAAAUCCGGAA
RNAcentral lists this ribosomal RNA (850 nucleotides) under Escherichia coli. RNAcentral's name for it is "partial 23S ribosomal RNA". It matches the Rfam family "Bacterial large subunit ribosomal RNA", at positions 696 to 1547 of the family's 2925-position model. The record is from RNAcentral. Lineage: Bacteria; Pseudomonadati; Pseudomonadota; Gammaproteobacteria; Enterobacterales; Enterobacteriaceae.